Molecule: transfer RNA, 60 nt
Filed under: Cordylochernes scorpioides
Lineage: Eukaryota; Metazoa; Arthropoda; Arachnida; Pseudoscorpiones; Chernetidae
Description: tRNA-Gly
Rfam family: tRNA
About the family: Transfer RNA (tRNA) molecules are approximately 80 nucleotides in length. Their secondary structure includes four short double-helical elements and three loops (D, anti-codon, and T loops).
Source: RNAcentral
GCAUCGGUAGUUCAGUGGUAAAAUGCUCGCCUGCCACGCGGGUGGCCCGCGGCCGAUGCA